CUCUUGUGUUAAGGUGCAUCUAGUGCAGUUAGUGAAGCAGCUUAGAAUCUACUGCCCUAAAUGCCCCUUCUGGCACAGGCUG
MicroRNA precursor from Equus asinus (donkey), 82 nucleotides. NCBI's taxonomy places the organism in Eukaryota, Metazoa, Chordata, Mammalia, Perissodactyla, Equidae. The record is from Ensembl.